Molecule: long non-coding RNA, 216 nt
Organism: Alligator sinensis (Chinese alligator)
Lineage: Eukaryota; Metazoa; Chordata; Crocodylia; Alligatoridae
Exons: 3
Source: RefSeq, a predicted model, not a curated record
AGCAGCCAAGGGGGAAGGAGGUGUCCUAGAGGAAGCUAAGUGAAGAGGUGUGACAGCCCAUUCAGCUCCUGGAGCCCAUUGGAUCUGUGGAACGAACCUGUUUCAAGGACCAGAUGUCAUGGCUGUUUCACAAAAGAAGGUAUGGGGGGAAGAAGAAGCCCCCACACAAUUGACAGAGAUAAUCCCCAGUAUAUCAGCCACUGCUUCUGUUUUGCA